This 449-nucleotide ribosomal RNA is filed under the name uncultured prokaryote. RNAcentral's name for it is "bacterial SSU rRNA". It matches the Rfam family "Bacterial small subunit ribosomal RNA", at positions 355 to 796 of the family's 1533-position model. The record is from RNAcentral.
UGGGGAAUAUUGGACAAUGGGCGAAAGCCUGAUCCAGCAAUGCCGCGUGUGUGAAGACGGCCCUAGGGUUGUAAAGCACUUUCAGUAGGGAAGAAAAGCAGCGGGUUAAUAGCCCGCCGUAAUGACGUUACCUACAGAAGAAGCACCGGCUAACUCCGUGCCAGCAGCCGCGGUAAUACGGAGGGUGCGAGCGUUAAUCGGAAUUACUGGGCGUAAAGGGCGCGUAGGUGGUCUGAUAAGUCGGAUGUGAAAGCCCCAGGCUUAACUUGGGAAUUGCAUUCGAUACUGUCAGGCUUGAGUAUGGUAGAGGGAAGCGGAAUUCCGGGUGUAGCGGUGAAAUGCGUAGAUAUCCGGAGGAACAUCAGUGGCGAAGGCGGCUUCCUGGACCAAUACUGACACUGAGGCGCGAAAGCGUGGGGAGCAAACAGGAUUAGAUACCCCCGUAGUCC